RNAcentral lists this ribosomal RNA (2900 nucleotides) under Klebsiella pneumoniae. RNAcentral describes it as "bacterial LSU rRNA". It matches the Rfam family "Bacterial large subunit ribosomal RNA". The record is from RNAcentral. Lineage: Bacteria; Pseudomonadati; Pseudomonadota; Gammaproteobacteria; Enterobacterales; Enterobacteriaceae.
UUAAGCGACUAAGCGUACACGGUGGAUGCCCUGGCAGUCAGAGGCGAUGAAGGACGUGCUAAUCUGCGAAAAGCGUCGGUAAGGUGAUAUGAACCGUUAUAACCGGCGAUGUCCGAAUGGGGAAACCCAGUGUGAUUCGUCACACUAUCGUUAACUGAAUACAUAGGUUAACGAGGCGAACCGGGGGAACUGAAACAUCUAAGUACCCCGAGGAAAAGAAAUCAACCGAGAUUCCCCCAGUAGCGGCGAGCGAACGGGGAGCAGCCCAGAGUCUGAAUCAGCUUGUGUGUUAGUGGAACGGUCUGGAAAGUCCGACGGUACAGGGUGAUAGUCCCGUACACCAAAAUGCACAGGCUGUGAACUCGAAGAGUAGGGCGGGACACGUGGUAUCCUGUCUGAAUAUGGGGGGACCAUCCUCCAAGGCUAAAUACUCCUGACUGACCGAUAGUGAACCAGUACCGUGAGGGAAAGGCGAAAAGAACCCCGGCGAGGGGAGUGAAAAAGAACCUGAAACCGUGUACGUACAAGCAGUGGGAGCACCUUCGGGUGUGACUGCGUACCUUUUGUAUAAUGGGUCAGCGACUUAUAUUCUGUAGCAAGGUUAACCGUAUAGGGGAGCCGCAGGGAAACCGAGUCUUAACUGGGCGUUAAGUUGCAGGGUAUAGACCCGAAACCCGGUGAUCUAGCCAUGGGCAGGUUGAAGGUUGGGUAACACUAACUGGAGGACCGAACCGACUAAUGUUGAAAAAUUAGCGGAUGACUUGUGGCUGGGGGUGAAAGGCCAAUCAAACCGGGAGAUAGCUGGUUCUCCCCGAAAGCUAUUUAGGUAGCGCCUCGUGAAUUCAUCUUCGGGGGUAGAGCACUGUUUCGGCUAGGGGGUCAUCCCGACUUACCAACCCGAUGCAAACUACGAAUACCGAAGAAUGUUAUCACGGGAGACACACGGCGGGUGCUAACGUCCGUCGUGAAGAGGGAAACAACCCAGACCGCCAGCUAAGGUCCCAAAGUCAUGGUUAAGUGGGAAACGAUGUGGGAAGGCACAGACAGCCAGGAUGUUGGCUUAGAAGCAGCCAUCAUUUAAAGAAAGCGUAAUAGCUCACUGGUCGAGUCGGCCUGCGCGGAAGAUGUAACGGGGCUAAACCAUGCACCGAAGCUGCGGCAGCGACACUAUGUGUUGUUGGGUAGGGGAGCGUUCUGUAAGCCUGCGAAGGUGACCUGUGAGGGUUGCUGGAGGUAUCAGAAGUGCGAAUGCUGACAUAAGUAACGAUAAAGCGGGUGAAAAGCCCGCUCGCCGGAAGACCAAGGGUUCCUGUCCAACGUUAAUCGGGGCAGGGUGAGUCGACCCCUAAGGCGAGGCCGAAAGGCGUAGUCGAUGGGAAACAGGUUAAUAUUCCUGUACUUGGUGUUACUGCGAAGGGGGGACGGAGAAGGCUAUGUUAGCCGGGCGACGGUUGUCCCGGUUUAAGCAUGUAGGCUGGUUGUCCAGGCAAAUCCGGAUAAUCAAGGCUGAGGUGUGAUGACGAGGCACUACGGUGCUGAAGUAACAAAUGCCCUGCUUCCAGGAAAAGCCUCUAAGCAUCAGGUAACAUCAAAUCGUACCCCAAACCGACACAGGUGGUCAGGUAGAGAAUACCAAGGCGCUUGAGAGAACUCGGGUGAAGGAACUAGGCAAAAUGGUGCCGUAACUUCGGGAGAAGGCACGCUGGUGUGUAGGUGAAGCCCCUGCGGGUGGAGCUGAGACCAGUCGAAGAUACCAGCUGGCUGCAACUGUUUAUUAAAAACACAGCACUGUGCAAACACGAAAGUGGACGUAUACGGUGUGACGCCUGCCCGGUGCCGGAAGGUUAAUUGAUGGGGUUAUCCGUAAGGAGAAGCUCUUGAUCGAAGCCCCGGUAAACGGCGGCCGUAACUAUAACGGUCCUAAGGUAGCGAAAUUCCUUGUCGGGUAAGUUCCGACCUGCACGAAUGGCGUAAUGAUGGCCAGGCUGUCUCCACCCGAGACUCAGUGAAAUUGAACUCGCUGUGAAGAUGCAGUGUACCCGCGGCAAGACGGAAAGACCCCGUGAACCUUUACUAUAGCUUGACACUGAACAUUGAGCCUUGAUGUGUAGGAUAGGUGGGAGGCUUUGAAGCGUGGACGCCAGUCUGCGUGGAGCCAACCUUGAAAUACCACCCUUUAAUGUUUGAUGUUCUAACGUUGGCCCCUUAUCGGGGUUGCGGACAGUGUCUGGUGGGUAGUUUGACUGGGGCGGUCUCCUCCCAAAGCGUAACGGAGGAGCACGAAGGUUAGCUAAUCCUGGUCGGACAUCAGGAGGUUAGUGCAAUGGCAUAAGCUAGCUUGACUGCGAGCGUGACGGCGCGAGCAGGUGCGAAAGCAGGUCAUAGUGAUCCGGUGGUUCUGAAUGGAAGGGCCAUCGCUCAACGGAUAAAAGGUACUCCGGGGAUAACAGGCUGAUACCGCCCAAGAGUUCAUAUCGACGGCGGUGUUUGGCACCUCGAUGUCGGCUCAUCACAUCCUGGGGCUGAAGUAGGUCCCAAGGGUAUGGCUGUUCGCCAUUUAAAGUGGUACGCGAGCUGGGUUUAGAACGUCGUGAGACAGUUCGGUCCCUAUCUGCCGUGGGCGCUGGAGAAUUGAGGGGGGCUGCUCCUAGUACGAGAGGACCGGAGUGGACGCAUCACUGGUGUUCGGGUUGUCAUGCCAAUGGCACUGCCCGGUAGCUAAAUGCGGAAGAGAUAAGUGCUGAAAGCAUCUAAGCACGAAACUUGCCCCGAGAUGAGUUCUCCCUGAGACUUUAAGUCUCCUGAAGGAACGUUAAAGACGAUGACGUUGAUAGGCCGGGUGUGUAAGCGCAGCGAUGCGUUGAGCUAACCGGUACUAAUGAACCGUGAGGCUUAACCUU